CCUACGGGUGGCUGCAGUGGGGAAUAUUGGACAAUGGGGGGAACCCUGAUCCAGCCAUGCCGCGUGUGUGAAGAAGGCCCUCGGGUUGUAAAGCACUUUCAGUGAGGAAGAACGCCUGGUGGUUAAUACCCAUCAGGAAAGACAUCACUCACAGAAGAAGCACCGGCUAACUCCGUGCCAGCAGCCGCGGUAAUACGGAGGGUGCGAGCGUUAAUCGGAAUUACUGGGCGUAAAGCGCGCGUAGGUGGCUUGAUAAGCCGGUUGUGAAAGCCCCGGGCUCAACCUGGGAACGGCAUCCGGAACUGUCAAGCUAGAGUGCAGGAGAGGAAGGUAGAAUUCCCGGUGUAGCGGUGAAAUGCGUAGAGAUCGGGAGGAAUACCAGUGGCGAGGCGGCCUUCUGGACUGACACUGACACUGAGGUGCGAAAGCGUGGGUAGCAAACAGGAUUAGAUACCCGGGUAGUC
Molecule: ribosomal RNA, 464 nt
Filed under: Vreelandella stevensii
Lineage: Bacteria; Pseudomonadati; Pseudomonadota; Gammaproteobacteria; Oceanospirillales; Halomonadaceae
Description: partial 16S ribosomal RNA
Rfam family: Bacterial small subunit ribosomal RNA
Source: RNAcentral